UCGGGAAUUUUGGGCAAUGGGCGAAAGCCUGACCCAGCAACGCCGCGUGAAGGAUGAAGUCUUUCGGGAUGUAAACUUCGUAAAAAUAGGAAGAAUAAAUGACGGUACUAUUUGUAAGGUCCGGCUAACUACGUGCCAGCAGCCGCGGUAAUACGUAGGGACCAAGCGUUGUUCGGAUUUACUGGGCGUAAAGGGCGCGUAGGCGGCGUGGUAAGUCACUUGUGAAAUCUCCGAGCUUAACUCGGAACGGUCAAGUGAUACUGCUGUGCUAGAGUACAGAAGGGGCAAUCGGAAUUCUUGGUGUAGCGGUGAAAUGCGUAGAUAUCAAGAGGAACACCUGAGGUGAAGACGGGUUGCUGGGCUGAUACUGACGCUGAGGCGCGAAAGCUAGGGUAGCAAACGGGAUUAGAUACCCUAGUAGUCCCUGAGCGGGCUGGCAAGGCGCAU
RNAcentral lists this ribosomal RNA (447 nucleotides) under uncultured bacterium. Its description in RNAcentral is "bacterial SSU rRNA". It matches the Rfam family "Bacterial small subunit ribosomal RNA", at positions 355 to 825 of the family's 1533-position model. The record is from RNAcentral.